Non-coding RNA from Clonostachys rhizophaga, 70 nucleotides. NCBI's taxonomy places the organism in Eukaryota, Fungi, Ascomycota, Sordariomycetes, Hypocreales, Bionectriaceae. The record is from the annotation of a GenBank genome assembly.
GCGUAAUUAGUCUAGUGGUAAGUUACUCAGUCUCACCCACUAGGGCUGGGUUCGAUUCCCAGAUUACGCA